This is a long non-coding RNA of Drosophila albomicans, 336 nucleotides long. RefSeq lists it as uncharacterized. The record is from RefSeq and is a predicted model, not a curated record. NCBI's taxonomy places the organism in Eukaryota, Metazoa, Arthropoda, Insecta, Diptera, Drosophilidae. The transcript is spliced from 3 exons.
AAGUUUUUUGUUGUUGGUUUUGUUGGCAAGAAAAUGGUGGGCAGAUUAUGUGCCGAACCUGAGGAAAAAAAAAUGUAAAAGUGCAUGUGACUAAAACCAAAAAUAUAUCUCAGUGAAGUGGUUGGCGAAGUCCGUUGCAUAUAUCGUAUUUUGCACCUAUGCCAUCCACUUAACCUACGCAAUAGAUGGUUGUCCACUUCCACGUCCUCCCAUAUCAAGUGCCGUUUUCCAGAUUAGGAUUCGGCACCCAGUCAUAAUUUAUACAAAACUCAGUGGGUAAAUUGAAAUGACCCAGUGUGUAAAUUGUAACAACCCAGAUUAAAACGCAGUAUUAAU